Telopea speciosissima is the source of this 317-nucleotide long non-coding RNA. RefSeq lists it as uncharacterized. NCBI's taxonomy places the organism in Eukaryota, Viridiplantae, Streptophyta, Magnoliopsida, Proteales, Proteaceae. The record is from RefSeq and is a predicted model, not a curated record. The transcript has 3 exons.
AUUCCCCCUACCCACGAUCUUACUUAUCUCUCUCCCGAUGAGGGUUCCUCCUCACAAGAUCAUGACUUUCCCUAUGAGGAUUCCUCAAAGAAACCCCUAAUCUUCUAAUCUCCUCCAAUCUGUUUUUCAUCUCUCUAUUCUCUUUCUGCAAAACCUCAACUUCUCUACUCAUCCACAAGCACAUACCCUUCAGCAUCUUCAAAUCCCCGACAUCACUGAAGCUGCUGCUCUUGGGCUUCACUUCCUGCUCCUCCUCAACCCUCUCAAUCCCAAUUUUAUCAACCAUUAAAAAAGGCAACUUCUUCCCACUAAAAUCA